AUUGAACGCUAGCGGGAUGCCUUACACAUGCAAGUCGAACGAGUGGCGAACGGGUGAGUAAUGUAUCGGAACGUGCCCAGUAGCGGGGGAUAACUACGCGAAACGUAGCUAAUACCGCAUACUAUUGGAGCGGCCGAUAUCGGAUUAGCUAGUUGGUGGGGUAACGGCUCACCAAGGCGACGAUCCGUAGCUGGUUUGAGAGGACGACCAGCCCAACUGGGACUGGGACACGGGCCAGACUCCUAAGGGAGGGAGCAGUGGGGAAUUUUGGGAAAUGGGGGAAAACCUGAUUCAGCCCACCCGGGUGUGCGAUUAAGGGCUUUGGGGUGUAAAGCACUUUUGGCAGGAAAGCGGUACCUGCAGAAUAAGCACCGGCUAACUACGUGCCAGCAGCCGCGGUAAUAC
This 405-nucleotide ribosomal RNA is filed under the name uncultured bacterium. Its description in RNAcentral is "partial 16S ribosomal RNA". It matches the Rfam family "Bacterial small subunit ribosomal RNA", at positions 30 to 526 of the family's 1533-position model. The record is from RNAcentral.